ACUUCCAUAACAACAAGUCACGUGGCGCCAAAACAGAAUGGCGAUGUUAUUAUACAAGUAAUUAAUUUGAAUUAUUCAGAAGCUCUUACAGUUUAAAUUAUAAGGUGGAUAGCAACUAACAGAAAUUUCUUAAUUUCUUAAUUGAAAACAAGUACAAAGAUUUAUGAAAAAGUUUUAAUCACAUUCAAUUUAUAUUGAACUCUAUUGAAAGUUUUUGUAUUGGGAUCACUAAAAUCAGAAUAUUAUCUAUGGAUCAUAGAAGUGGUUUAAAUUUAGAAUAUAAUUUUGGAUCGGAUCAUCGUCGAGAGUCUCUUCGAUCAAAAUAUCGUCCUUUUAGUCAUUUUGAUAAUAUGUCAGAAGGAAUAUCUCAAAAUUUGGACAGCCCUACUCCAGACAGAGCAGUAGACUCACGAAGGGGUUAGUAGUAUCAUUUGCUUACACUUAACCUCAGGGUUUUAUAUUUUUAUUCAAAUUUGUUUAGAAUAUUUUAUUGAUUAUUAAAAUUAAAUUAUUCUAAAAGUUUUUGAAACAGGGAAAUGUUAGAAUUUUAAGAUUAAUAUUUCUUUAAAUAGUGGUUAAAUUGGUAAAUUAAUAGUUUGCUCCAUCAAAAACUGGAUUUAGAAAGCUUUUUACUGAAAGCACUCUACGAACACAUCCUAGAUCAACAAAAAUCGACCAGCUAAAUAUUACUAAAACUAACGCAUUUGAAGAGUUAUGAACAAAUUGAAAACACAUCUAUAAACAUGAAAAAAUAUCUUUCAUGCAAGAACCAUGAGAUUAUAUGCUAACUUUUAUACUUGAAUAGGAUCAGUCUUGGAAAAUCUGGUAGGUUAUCAGUCACGGAGAAGAAUCAGUGAGAGGGAGAAAAGAGAAUUAGAAUCUGAACCUUUAUCUCCAAUUUCAAGCACAAAAAAGAAAAGGAAGAAAAUUCCCAUUACCGCUAAUUUGUUCGGUACAAGAUAUGAAGUCGUAAGGCAUAUGGCCCAACGAGCUGGACUAACAAUACAGAAGGAGGAUGACUCUUCUUGGUUUGAUAAUUUUUGAAGAGAUGUAACAAACUGUUUACUUAAUAACACAUUCUAUAACAGCUACUUAAUUUGGAGUGAUAGUUUUGUGGCAUCUGAUGUAAUUACUUCAUUGAAAGACUAUCAAAAAAUCAAUCAUUUUCCAGGUAUGGGCGAAAUUUGUAGGAAAGAUUGUCUUGCGAGAAAUAUGAGAAGGGCGAGCCGUUAUCUAGAAAAUGACUAUAAUUUUGUUCCAAAAACAUGGAUUUUACCAUCUGAAUAUAGUGAAUUACAAUCCUAUUACAAAGACUUAAAAAGAAGAAGUAAAAAAAAAACUUUUAUUUUGAAGCCAUCAAAUGGUGCUAUGGGAAAUGGAAUUAUCUUGUACAGAAAUGCUGAAAAAAUUGCUCAAAGCGAGCAAACUGUUGUUCAAGAAUAUUUAGAAAAACCAUUGCUCCUUGAAGGAUUCAAGUGUGAUAUGAGAAUCUACGUGCUAAUGACAUCUUGCGAUCCCUUAAAACUGUUUUUAUUUGAUGAUGGAUUGAUAAGAAUGAGCACCGAGAAAUACACUCCACCAAAUGAAGGGAAUAUAGAAAAGUUGUUUAUGCAUCUAACAAAUUAUUCCGUGAAUAAACACUCUGAAAAUUAUGAAAAGAGUGGUAAAAUUGACACUGGAAGCAAAAGAACAUUACAAUACUUCCGAGAGUACAUCAGAAAACGCGACAUUGACGACAAGCUGCUUUGGCGACAUAUCAUUGAUUUGAUAAUUAAAACUAUGAUCGUUGCUCACCCACAUGUUCUUCAUGCAUAUAGAAUGUGCCGUCCAGGUGUUUCUACUGGAAAAGAUUCAGUUUGUUUCGAAAUUUUAGGAUUUGACAUAAUGUUAGAUAAGAAGCUGAAACCUUGGUUGUUAGAGAUUAACAGAUCACCCAGUUUCGGAACUGAUGAGCAGCUAGAUUAUGAUAUAAAAUCGACCCUACUGUACGAUACUUUCAAAUUACUAAACAUCCGCGCAAGCGACAAACGACGCAAUAUGGCUGAGCAAAAAGCUCAAGCUCAAAAACGACUAUUUCAAGGUCGCGUUAAAAAGGAAUUAGAUAUAACUGACAUUCAAAAGAAGAAAAUUUCUCUCUCUAAAAAGAAAGAUGAAUUGAAAGAUCUUCUUCAAAAAGUAAAGAAAGACGCUGCUCGGGAUUAUUACGAAACCCAAAAUUGCGGGGGAUUCCAAAAAAUCUUUCCCCCUCCAGAUAGACAUGCAAGAGAGAGAUAUGCUAAAUUAAUGAGCGAAGUUCAUAAGAUAUCUAUGGAAGGUUUGGGAAAGGCUUCAGGAGCAUUUAGCCAGGAAAUUCUCAGAACAUACAAUAAUCCUUUGAAGGAAGAAGAUAUAUUAGAUCUUUUAGCUCAAUGUGAAGCUGAUGAAAAAUUAACUGAUAAAAAUCUUUCCAAAAAUAAGUUUUCUCACGAUUUGAGGCAUUCAAGAGGUUUUCCAGGAUUUAAGAAAUCUACAGAAGAAUUCGAUGAAGAUAGUGAUGAUGAUUAUGAUCAUGAUGAUCCUGAUGGCGGUGAAGAUUGCGAGAGCGAUAAUAUGGAAGAACCUUUUGCAUUUCGGAACGGUACAAGGCGAUCCCGUUCUGAGUGCUCAACUCAGCGUCGAAAGCUUAGUAGACCUAGCAGUAAAACACAUAAAAUCGGACGUACAACAAGUGAAGAGCGCUUUGGAUGUCAAGCUAAACAAGAAGAAGAGAAUUUAAAGCGAACUCUCAGUGCAUUAAAUGAUAUGCGUAUUAAAUUUCCUGGCAAAACAGACGAAGAGGCCGAGUUUAUUUUAGACAAGAUGAAUGAAAACUGGAAGUUUCAUAAACCCCGAAUAGCUUCUUAUUGGCUAGUUAAACUUGAUUCAAUCAAAAGAAGGAAAGUUUUAGAUAUCGUUCGAAGUAACGUCAAAGCUCUUUUGGUGAAAGUUUGGAAGAGUGCUGAUAUUGAAAAUAUCCGAAUAAAUCGCAUAUUUUCCAGAGUAUUUAAUCGGUUACUGUGGAGUCAUGGACAAGGUUUAUGGAAUUGCUUUCAAGCAGCAAGCCAAUCAUGGGAAACAAUUUUUAGUAAAUCAUCCGACGUUAUUACUCCUAUAGAAAUGCUUUGUUGUAGAAGAGUGGUACAGCUAUGUCGGGACUGCCUCUUGAUAGUUUAUCAGUUCGCAUCCGAGUCGAAGACAGCUAGCAAAAACUCUCCUUCUCCAGAUCCUGUCUCAAAAAAACCGAUUAGUAUUGAAAGAACAAUUGGUACUCAGUGGAAUCAAAAGGAUUCUUUAUCAAAUUUUCGAAUGAACAGAGGAACACCUAUAAGACAAAUUAAUCUAAUGACACUCACAUAAACUUCAAAGAUAACAUUUCCUUUACAAAAAUGAAAAUUUAAAAUAGAAUGCUAUCCUAUGAUAUUCAUGCAGUAUAUACUGACUAUAUGUACACGUAUAAUGACAAUAAAUACAGUACUAAGCAUAUGAUAUGAAAGUU
This 3514-nucleotide unclassified non-coding RNA is filed under the name Dimorphilus gyrociliatus. RNAcentral describes it as "dgyrCDS1057". The record is from RNAcentral. Lineage: Eukaryota; Metazoa; Annelida; Polychaeta; Dinophilidae.